RNAcentral lists this ribosomal RNA (756 nucleotides) under uncultured bacterium. RNAcentral describes it as "bacterial SSU rRNA". It matches the Rfam family "Bacterial small subunit ribosomal RNA", at positions 8 to 796 of the family's 1533-position model. The record is from RNAcentral.
AGAGUUUGAUCAUGGCUCAGAAUCAACGCUGGCGGCGUGCCUAACACAUGCAAGUCGCACGAGAAAGGGGCUUCGGCUCUGAGUAAAGUGGCGCACGGGUGAGUAACACGUGAAUCAUCUACCCUCGAGUGGGGAAUAACCUAGAGAAAUCUGGGCUAAUACCGCAUAACACUUACGAGUCAAAGCAGCAAUGCGCUUGGGGAGGAGUUCGCGGCCGAUUAGUUAGUUGGCGGGGUAAUGGCCCACCAAGACGAUGAUCGGUAUCCGGCCUGAGAGGGCGCACGGACACACUGGAACUGAAACACGGUCCAGACUCCUACGGGAGGCAGCAGUGGGGAAUUUUGCGCAAUGGGGGAAACCCUGACGCAGCAACGCCGCGUGGAGGAUGAAAUCCCUUGGGAUGUAAACUCCUUUCGAUUGGGAAGAUUAUGACGGUACCAAUAGAAGAAGCCCCGGCUAACUUCGUGCCAGCAGCCGCGGUAAUACGAGGGGGGCAAGCGUUGUUCGGAAUUAUUGGGCGUAAAGGGUGCGUAGGCGGUUUGACAAGUCUUAUGUGAAAUCUAUGGGCUCAACCCAUAGUCUGCAUGAGAAACUGUUGAGCUUGAGUAUGGGAGAGGUGAGUGGAAUUUCCGGUGUAGCGGUGAAAUGCGUAGAUAUCGGAAGGAACACCUGUGGCGAAAGCGGCUCACUGGACCAUAACUGACGCUGAGGCACGAAAGCUAGGGGAGCAAACAGGAUUAGAUACCCUAGUAGUCC